This 402-nucleotide ribosomal RNA is filed under the name Verrucomicrobiota bacterium. Its description in RNAcentral is "Verrucomicrobia bacterium partial 16S ribosomal RNA". It matches the Rfam family "Bacterial small subunit ribosomal RNA", at positions 355 to 776 of the family's 1533-position model. The record is from RNAcentral. Lineage: Bacteria; Pseudomonadati; Verrucomicrobiota.
UGGGGAAUUUUGCACAAUGGGGGAAACCCUGAUGCAGCGACGCCGCGUGAUUUAGAAGGCCUUCGGGUUGUAAAAAUCUUUUCUAUGGGAAGAAAAUGACAGUACCAUAGGAAUAAGGACUGGCUAAUUACGUGCCAGCAGCCGCGGUAAUACGUAAGGUCCGAGCGUUGUCCGGAAUCAUUGGGCGUAAAGGGUACGUAGGCGGGUAAGCAAGUUAGAAGUGAAAUCCUGUAGCUCAACUACAGUAAGCUUUUAAAACUGCUCAUCUUGAGAUAUGGAAGGGAAAGUGGAAUUCCUAGUGUAGCGGUGAAAUGCGCAGAUAUUAGGAGGAAUACCGGUGGCGAAGGCGACUUUCUGGCCAUAAUCUGACGCUGAGGUACGAAAGCGUGGGGAGCAAACAGG